This 451-nucleotide ribosomal RNA is filed under the name uncultured bacterium. RNAcentral's name for it is "SSU rRNA". It matches the Rfam family "Bacterial small subunit ribosomal RNA", at positions 26 to 518 of the family's 1533-position model. The record is from RNAcentral.
AGGAUGAACGCUGGCGGUAUGCCUAACACAUGCAAGUCGUACGAGAGUUUAUAACUCAAGUGGCGGACGGGUGAGUAACACGUGAGAAUUUACCUUUAGGAGGGGGAUAACACCUGGAAACGGUUGCUAAUACCCCAUAUGCUUUCGAGUGAAAUAGAUUUUUCUGCCUAAAGAAAAGCUCGCGGCUGAUUAGCUUGUUGGUAAGGUAAUGGCUUACCAAGGCGACGAUCAGUAUCUGGUUUGAGAGGACGAUCAGACACAUUGGAACUGAGACACGGUCCAGACUCCUACGGGAGGCAGCAGUGGGGAAUUUCCGCAAUGGGCGAAAGCCUGACGGAGCAAUGCCGCGUGGAGGUAGAAGGGCCCACGGGUCGUAAACUCCUUUUCUCAGAGAAGAAGCAAUGACGGUAUCUGAGGAAUAAGCAUCGGCUAACUCUGUGCCAGCAGCCGC